Molecule: non-coding RNA, 184 nt
Filed under: Pontibacter korlensis
Lineage: Bacteria; Pseudomonadati; Bacteroidota; Cytophagia; Cytophagales; Hymenobacteraceae
Source: RNAcentral
CAGCGCCUGCGCUGUUCUGGUAGCAUAACCAGAGCUUAAAAAGGAACCGUGUGUAAAUCACGGGCUGACGCGCAACUGUAAGUAACAUUAUGUUAACGCCAAACAGGCCCUUUGUCCGGAGUCGGGUGCGAAGGGCGGCAGUAAAGUUAUAAGCCAGGAUACUUGCCACAGAUGUUUAUGCACA